AUAACUCGGGGAUAGCCUUUCGAAAGAAAGAUUAAUAUCCGAUAGCAUAUAUUUCCCGCAUGGGUUUUAUAUUAAAGAAAUUCGGUAUGAGAUGGGGAUGCGUUCCAUUAGUUUGUUGGGGGGGUAACGGCCCACCAAGACUACGAUGGAUAGGGGUUCUGAGAGGAAGGUCCCCCACAUUGGAACUGAGACACGGUCCAA
This 201-nucleotide ribosomal RNA is filed under the name uncultured bacterium. Its description in RNAcentral is "partial 16S ribosomal RNA". It matches the Rfam family "Bacterial small subunit ribosomal RNA", at positions 133 to 334 of the family's 1533-position model. The record is from RNAcentral.